Molecule: non-coding RNA, 328 nt
Organism: Paramuricea clavata
Lineage: Eukaryota; Metazoa; Cnidaria; Anthozoa; Malacalcyonacea; Plexauridae
Source: the annotation of a GenBank genome assembly
AGCAGCUCAAAUAAAAAAUAACCAAGUGACUGAACAGACGGGAGUUAUUUCGUAUUUUGUAGCAAUAUAAAAACUUUUGUUUGCGGUAAUCUUCACCAAGUUUGUCGUUAGCUCAAGCGGUAAAGGCGCUGCGUACCGAAAGUGAAACGCAGUCGGGGUCGGGAUCGAUGCCGAACAUUUAUUAUCUGAUUUAGCUCUUUUUCUCAAUUUUUUGUAAUUUUUUUCUUCCUUCCUUUUUUAACUCUUAAAAGUUAGGCCGGUUAGUGUUUGGGAUCGGUAUAAAAUCUAAAGUGCUUUAAAAAAGUUUUAAUCUUUUUUUAUCUGGUUG